Molecule: ribosomal RNA, 253 nt
Filed under: uncultured bacterium
Lineage: Bacteria
Description: partial 16S ribosomal RNA
Rfam family: Bacterial small subunit ribosomal RNA
Source: RNAcentral
UACGUAGGGGGCUAGCGUUGUCCGGAUUUAUUGGGCGUAAAGAGCGUGUAGGCGGCCAGGUAGGUCCGUUGUGAAAACUCGAGGCUCAACCUCGAGACGUCGGCGGAAACCCUCUGGCUAGAGUCCGGAAGAGGAGAGUGGAAUUCCUGGUGUAGCGGUGAAAUGCGCAGAUAUCAGGAAGAACACCCGUGGCGAAGGCGGCUCUCUGGGACGGUACUGACGCUGAGACGCGAAAGCGUGGGGAGCGAACAGG